Molecule: ribosomal RNA, 502 nt
Filed under: uncultured bacterium
Lineage: Bacteria
Description: bacterial SSU rRNA
Rfam family: Bacterial small subunit ribosomal RNA
Source: RNAcentral
GAUGAACGCUGGCGGCGUGCCUCAAACAUGCAAGUCGAGCGGGGCUAUGUAAUAUCGCAAGGUAGAACAUAGCCUAGCGGCGAACGGGUGAGUAACACGUGGGUAACCUGCCUGGAAGACAGGGAUAACGAUUCGAAAGGGUCGCUAAUACCUGAUAAUAUCCUUUCAUCGCAUGGUGAUAGGAAGAAAGGGGAAACCCGCUUUCAGAUGGGCCCGCGUCCCAUCAGCUAGUUGGUAAGGUAAAGGCUUACCAAGGCGACGACGGGUAGCCGGUCUGAGAGGAUGUACGGCCACACUGGGACUGAGAUACGGCCCAGACUCCUACGGGAGGCAGCAGUUGGGAAUCUUAGGCAAUGGACGAAAGUCUGACCUAGCGACGCCGCGUGAGGGAAGAAGGCCUUCGGGUUGUAAACCUCUGUCAUGGGGGAAGAAGUAAGUGACGGUACCCCAAGAGGAAGCCCCUGCUAACUACGUGCCAGCAGCCGCGGUAAGAGUACUCUAU